Molecule: unclassified non-coding RNA, 352 nt
Filed under: soil metagenome
Description: partial contains 5.8S ribosomal RNA, internal transcribed spacer 2, and large subunit ribosomal RNA
Rfam family: 5.8S ribosomal RNA (bases 1-120)
Source: RNAcentral
GAUGAAGAACGCAGCGAAAUGCGAAAAGUACUGUGAAUUGCAGAAUUCAGUGAAUCAUCGAAUCUUUGAACGCACAUUGCGCCCGCUGGUACUCCGGCGGGCACGCCUGUCCGAGCGUCAUUUCAACCCUCAAGCCCUCCUUCGGGAUGGGCCUGGUGUUGGGGCUCGGCCGCCAUCUCCGGCGGCCGUCCCCUAAAUACAGUGGCGGUCACGUCGCGACUCCUUUGCGUAGUAGAAACACCUCGCUCCGGAUAGCAACGCGGUCCACGCCGUAAAACCCCCAAUUUUCAAUGGUUGACCUCGGAUCAGGUGGGAAUACCCGCUGAACUUAAGCAUAUCAAUAAGCGGAGGA